This 113-nucleotide non-coding RNA is filed under the name Citrobacter youngae. Its description in RNAcentral is "Ribosomal S15 leader". It matches the Rfam family "Ribosomal S15 leader". From Rfam's summary of the family: The E. coli Ribosomal S15 gene 5' UTR can form two alternative structures. One that is a series of three hairpins, The other includes a pseudoknot. The record is from RNAcentral. Lineage: Bacteria; Pseudomonadati; Pseudomonadota; Gammaproteobacteria; Enterobacterales; Enterobacteriaceae.
GGGAUAGCUGAAUUAGAGAUCGGCAUCCUUUCAUUCUUAACACUUUGGAGUUUUACAAUGUCUCUAAGUACUGAAGCUACCGCAAAAAUCGUUUCUGAGUUUGGUCGUGAUGC